This 224-nucleotide long non-coding RNA is filed under the name Olea europaea subsp. europaea. The record is from RNAcentral. Lineage: Eukaryota; Viridiplantae; Streptophyta; Magnoliopsida; Lamiales; Oleaceae.
ACCCCCAGUGUGGCCAACAGGGUUGCCAUAUUCAUCAGUCUGUCGCGUUGGGUUCCCGUAUUGGUCUCCGUACUCUGCCAUUUCUUCAGAUUUCAAGUGUGUAUCAAAAUCAAAACUCAAAUAAACAAGUAGUUUGUUUAGCUUCUUAUAUUGUCCCGCACUGCAAUGUGACAGAGAUUAAUUCGCACACGAUGCUUAUAUAGGAGAAAAAGGGUCCUAGUAAC